AACGAUGUCGACUUGGAGGUUGUGCCCUUGAGGCGUGGCUUCCGGAGCUAACGCGUUAAGUCGACCGCCUGGGGAGUACGGCCGCAAGGUUAAAACCCAAAUGAAUUGACGGGGGCCCGCACAAGCGGUGGAGCAUGUGGUUUAAUUCGAUGCAACGCGAAGAACCUUACCUGGUCUUGACAUCCACAGAACUUUCCAGAGAUGGAUUGGUGCCUUCGGGAACUGUGAGACAGGUGCUGCAUGGCUGUCGUCAGCUCGUGUUGUGAAAUGUUGGGUUAAGUCCCGCAACGAGCGCAACCCUUAUCCUUUGUUGCCAGCGGUCCGGCCGGGAACUCAAAGGAGACUGCCAGUGAUAAACUGGAGGAAGGUGGGGAUGACGUCAAGUCAUCAUGGCCCUUACGACCAGGGCUACACACGUGCUACAAUGGCGCAUACAAAGAGAAGCGACCUCGCGAGAGCAAGCGGACCUCAUAAAGUGCGUCGUAGUCCGGAUUGGAGUCUGCAACUCGACUCCAUGAAGUCGGAAUCGCUAGUAAUCGUGGAUCAGAAUGCCACGGUGA
This 560-nucleotide ribosomal RNA is filed under the name Escherichia sp. Its description in RNAcentral is "bacterial SSU rRNA". It matches the Rfam family "Bacterial small subunit ribosomal RNA", at positions 805 to 1365 of the family's 1533-position model. The record is from RNAcentral. Lineage: Bacteria; Pseudomonadati; Pseudomonadota; Gammaproteobacteria; Enterobacterales; Enterobacteriaceae.